UGGGCGCAAGCCUGAUGGAGCAACACCGCGUGAGUGAAGAAGGGUUUCGGCUCGUAAAGCUCUGUUGUUGGAGAAGUAACGUGCGUGAGAGUAACUGUUCACGCAGUGACGGUAUCCAACCAGAAAGUCACGGCUAACUACGUGCC
This 146-nucleotide ribosomal RNA is filed under the name uncultured bacterium. RNAcentral's name for it is "partial 16S ribosomal RNA". It matches the Rfam family "Bacterial small subunit ribosomal RNA", at positions 372 to 509 of the family's 1533-position model. The record is from RNAcentral.